RNAcentral lists this ribosomal RNA (1164 nucleotides) under Chondrophycus cf. cartilagineus. RNAcentral describes it as "SSU rRNA". It matches the Rfam family "Eukaryotic small subunit ribosomal RNA", at positions 77 to 1279 of the family's 1831-position model. The record is from RNAcentral. Lineage: Eukaryota; Rhodophyta; Florideophyceae; Ceramiales; Rhodomelaceae.
UACAACGAAACUGCGAAUGGCUCGGUAAAACAGCAAUAAUUUAUUCGGGGGUAAUUGCUACUUGGAUAACCGUAGUAAAGCUAGAGCUAAUACGUGCUACAAAGGCGAGACUCGCUCUCGUGGUACUAAGUAUUAGGUACAACCCAAUUUUAUUGGUGAUUCAUACUUAUCUUCUGAUCGCACUCUGUGCGACGCCCCGAAUAAAUUUCUGACCUAUCAACUUCGAUGGUAAGGUAGUGUCUUACCAUGGUUGUGACGGGUAACGGACCGUGGGUGCGGGAUUCCGGAGAGGGAGCCUGAGAAACGGCUACCACAUCCAAGGAAGGCAGCAGGCGCGCAACUUACCCAAUCCGAACUUCGGGAGGUAGUGACAAAAAAUAUCAAUAGGGGGACCGAUGGUCUUCCUAAUUGGAAUGAAAACAAUCUAAACACCUUAUUAAGGAACCAGCAGAGGGCAAGUCUGGUGCCAGCAGCCGCGGUAAUUCCAGCUCUGUAAGCGUAUACCAAAGUUGUUGCAGUUAAAACGCUCGUAGUCGAACCUUGGCGUGAGUUACGGAGACUCCUACUGGACGUUGAAGUAACUCCGCCUUUGUGGAGGGGGGUGUGGUGGUACUUUAUUGUAUUGCUGCGCUUCCGCCACUGUUUACUGUGAAAAAAUUAGAGUGUUCAAAGCGAGCGUUUGCCAUGAAUACAUUAGCAUGGAAUAAUAGAAUAGGACCUGAUCCUGUUUUAUUGGUUUGUCUGUAUCAGGUAAUGAUUAACAGGGACGGUCGGGGGCAUUUGUAUUCCAGCGUUAGAGGUGAAAUUCUUGGAUCGCUGGAAGACAAACAGCUGCGAAAGCGUCUGCCAAGGACGUUUUCAUUGAUCAAGAACGAAAGUAAGGGGAUCGAAGACGAUCAGAUACCGUCGUAGUCUUUACUAUAAACGAUGAUGACUAAGGAUCAGCCGUGGCCUAUUGGUACGGUUGGCACUUUCCGGGAAACCAAAGUUUUUGAUUUCUGGGGGGAGUAUGGUCGCAAGUCUGAAACUUAAAGGAAUUGACGGAAGGGCAUCACCGGGUGUGGAGCCUGCGGCUUAAUUUGACUCAACACGGGAAAACUUACCAGGUCCAGACAUAGUAAGGAUUGACAGAUUGAGAGCUCUUUCUUGAUUCUAUGGUUGGUG